This 397-nucleotide ribosomal RNA is filed under the name uncultured bacterium. Its description in RNAcentral is "partial 16S ribosomal RNA". It matches the Rfam family "Bacterial small subunit ribosomal RNA", at positions 523 to 918 of the family's 1533-position model. The record is from RNAcentral.
AUACGUAGGGGGCAAGCGUUAUCCGGAUUUACUGGGUGUAAAGGGAGCGUAGACGGAAGGCCAAGUCUGAUGUGAAAGCCCGCGGCUCAACUGCGGGACUGCAUUGGAAACUGGUCAUCUGGAGUGCAGGAGGGGUAAGCGGAAUUCCUAGUGUAGCGGUGAAAUGCGUAGAUAUUAGGAGGAACACCGGUGGCGAAGGCGGCUUACUGGACUGAAACUGACGUUGAGGCUCGAAAGCGUGGGGAGCAAACAGGAUUAGAUCCCCUGGUAGUCCACGCCGUAAACGACGAAUACUAGGUGUCGGGUUUCUAUAGAGAUUCGGUGCCGCAGCAAACGCAAUAAGUAUUCCACCUGGGGAGUACGUUCGCAAGAAUGAAACUCAAAGGAAUUGACGGGG